Molecule: ribosomal RNA, 468 nt
Filed under: uncultured bacterium
Lineage: Bacteria
Description: partial 16S ribosomal RNA
Rfam family: Bacterial small subunit ribosomal RNA
Source: RNAcentral
GACGAACGCUGGCGGCGUGCUUAACACAUGCAAGUCGAACGGAAAGGCCCUGCUUUUGUGGGGUGCUCGAGUGGCGAACGGGUGAGUAACACGUGAGUAACCUGCCCUUGACUUUGGGAUAACUUCAGGAAACUGGGGCUAAUACCGGAUAGGAGCUCCUGCUGCAUGGUGGGGGUUGGAAAGUUUCGGCGGUUGGGGAUGGACUCGCGGCUUAUCAGCUUGUUGGUGGGGUAGUGGCUUACCAAGGCUUUGACGGGUAGCCGGCCUGAGAGGGUGACCGGCCACAUUGGGACUGAGAUACGGCCCAGACUCCUACGGGAGGCAGCAGUGGGGAGGAUUGCACAAUGGGCGGAAGCCUGAUGCAGCAACGCCGCGUGCGGGAUGACGGCCUUCGGGUUGUAAACCGCUUUCGCCUGUGACGAAGCGUGAGUGACGGUAAUGGGUAAAGAAGCUCCGGCUAACUACGUG